CCUACGGGAGGCAGCAGUAGGGAAUAUUGCUCAAUGGGGGAAACCCUGAAGCAGCAACGCCGCGUGGAGGAUGAAGGUUUUCGGAUUGGAAACUCCUUUUGUUAGAGAAGAUAAUGACGGUAUCUAACGAAUAAGCACCGGCUAAAUCCGUGCCAGCAGCCGCGGUAAUACGGAGGGUGCAAGCGUUACUCGGAAUCACUGGGCGUAAAGAGCGCGUAGGCGGGAUAGCAAGUCAGAUGUGAAAUCCUAUGGAUUAACCAUAGAACUGCAUUUGAAACUGUUAUUCUAGAGUAUGGGAGAGGUAGGUGGAAUUCUUGGUGUAGUGGUAAAAUCCGUAGAGAUCAAGCGGAAUACUCAUUGCGAAGGCGACCUGCUAGAACAUAACUGACGCUGAUGCGCGAAAGCGUGGGGAGCAAACAGGAUUAGAUACCCUAGUAGUC
RNAcentral lists this ribosomal RNA (440 nucleotides) under uncultured bacterium. RNAcentral's name for it is "partial 16S ribosomal RNA". It matches the Rfam family "Bacterial small subunit ribosomal RNA", at positions 338 to 795 of the family's 1533-position model. The record is from RNAcentral.